This 492-nucleotide ribosomal RNA is filed under the name uncultured bacterium. RNAcentral describes it as "partial 16S ribosomal RNA". It matches the Rfam family "Bacterial small subunit ribosomal RNA", at positions 28 to 507 of the family's 1533-position model. The record is from RNAcentral.
GAUGAACGCUAGCUACAGGCUUAACACAUGCAAGUCGAGGGGAAACGACAUCGAAAGCUUGCUUUUGAUGGGCGUCGACCGGCGCACGGGUGAGGAACGCGUAUCCAACCUGCCCAUCACUUGGGGAUAACCUUGCGAAAGUAAGACUAAUACCCAAUGAGAUCUCUAGAAGACAUCUGAAAGAGAUGAAAGAUUUAUCGGUGAUGGAUGGGGAUGCGUCUGAUUAGCUUGUUGGCGGGGUAACGGCCCACCAAGGCAACGAUCAGUAGGGGUUCUGAGAGGCAGCUCCCCUACAUUGGAACUGAGACCCGGUCCAAAACCCUACGGGAGGGAGGAGUGAGGAAUAUUGGGCACGGGGCGCGAGCCUGAACCAGCCAAGUAGCGUGCAGGAAGCCGGCCCUCUGGGUUGUAAACUGCUUUUAUAAGGGAAUUAAGUGAGAGUCGUGACUCUUUUUGUAUGUACCUAAUGAAUAAGGACCGGCUAAUUCCGUG